RNAcentral lists this ribosomal RNA (789 nucleotides) under uncultured Serratia sp. Its description in RNAcentral is "bacterial SSU rRNA". It matches the Rfam family "Bacterial small subunit ribosomal RNA", at positions 713 to 1503 of the family's 1533-position model. Lineage: Bacteria; Pseudomonadati; Pseudomonadota; Gammaproteobacteria; Enterobacterales; Yersiniaceae. The record is from RNAcentral.
UGGCGAAGGCGGCCCCUGGACGAAGACUGACGCUCAGGUGCGAAAGCGUGGGGAGCAAACAGGAUUAGAUACCCUGGUAGUCCACGCUGUAAACGAUGUCGAUUUGGAGGUUGUGCCCUUGAGGCGUGGCUUCCGGAGCUAACGCGUUAAAUCGACCGCCUGGGGAGUACGGCCGCAAGGUUAAAACUCAAAUGAAUUGACGGGGGCCCGCACAAGCGGUGGAGCAUGUGGUUUAAUUCGAUGCAACGCGAAGAACCUUACCUACUCUUGACAUCCAGAGAACUUAGCAGAGAUGCUUUGGUGCCUUCGGGAACUCUGAGACAGGUGCUGCAUGGCUGUCGUCAGCUCGUGUUGUGAAAUGUUGGGUUAAGUCCCGCAACGAGCGCAACCCUUAUCCUUUGUUGCCAGCGGUUCGGCCGGGAACUCAAAGGAGACUGCCAGUGAUAAACUGGAGGAAGGUGGGGAUGACGUCAAAUCAUCAUGGCCCUUACGAGUAGGGCUACACACGUGCUACAAUGGCGUAUACAAAGAGAAGCGACCUCGCGAGAGCAAGCGGACCUCAUAAAGUACGUCGUAGUCCGGAUUGGAGUCUGCAACUCGACUCCAUGAAGUCGGAAUCGCUAGUAAUCGUAGAUCAAAAUGCUACGGUGAAUACGUUCCCGGGCCUUGUACACACCGCCCGUCACACCAUGGGAGUGGGUUGCAAAAGAAGUAGGUAGCUUAACCUUCGGGAGGGCGCUUACCACUUUGUGAUUCAUGACUGGGGUGAAGUCGUAACAAGGUAACCGU